RNAcentral lists this ribosomal RNA (495 nucleotides) under uncultured bacterium. RNAcentral's name for it is "partial 16S ribosomal RNA". It matches the Rfam family "Bacterial small subunit ribosomal RNA", at positions 30 to 507 of the family's 1533-position model. The record is from RNAcentral.
UGAACGCUGGCGGCGUGCCUAAUACAUGCAAGUCGAGCGAACGGACGAGAAGCUUGCUUCUCUGAUGUUAGCGGCGGACGGGUGAGUAACACGUGGAUAACCUACCUAUAAGACUGGGAUAACUUCGGGAAACCGGAGCUAAUACCGGAUAAUAUUUUGAACCGCAUGGUUCAAAAGUGAAAGACGGUCUUGCUGUCACUUAUAGAUGGAUCCGCGCUGCAUUAGCUAGUUGGUAAGGUAACGGCUUACCAAGGCAACGAUGCAUAGCCGACCUGAGAGGGUGAUCGGCCACACUGGAACUGAGACACGGUCCAGACUCCUACGGGAGGCAGCAGUAGGGAAUCUUCCGCAAUGGGCGAAAGCCUGACGGAGCAACGCCGCGUGAGUGAUGAAGGUCUUCGGAUCGUAAAACUCUGUUAUUAGGGAAGAACAUAUGUGUAAGUAACUGUGCACAUCUUGACGGUACCUAAUCAGAAAGCCACGGCUAACUACGUA